AGUAGUUUAAAAGAUGGUUCUGCUAUCACUCUUGGAUGGGACCUGCGGUGCAUUAGCUAGUUGGUAAGGGCAACGGGCUUACCAAGGCAAUGAUGCAUAGCCGAGUUGAGAGACUGAUCGGCCACAUUGGGACUGAGACACGGCCCAAACUCCUACGGGAGGCAGCAGUAGGGGAAUCUUCCACAAUGGACACAGGUCUGAUGGAGCAAACGCCGCGUGAGUGAAGAAGGGUUUCGGCUCGUAAAGCUCUGUUGGUAGUGAAGAAAGAUAGAGGUAGUAACUGGCCUUUAUUUGACGGUAAUUUACUUAGAAAAGUCACGGGGCUAACUACGUGCCCAGCAGCCGCGGGUAAAUA
This 355-nucleotide ribosomal RNA is filed under the name uncultured Lactobacillus sp. RNAcentral's name for it is "bacterial SSU rRNA". It matches the Rfam family "Bacterial small subunit ribosomal RNA", at positions 194 to 525 of the family's 1533-position model. The record is from RNAcentral. Lineage: Bacteria; Bacillati; Bacillota; Bacilli; Lactobacillales; Lactobacillaceae.